UUAAGUAUUUAUACAUACCGCUACCGAAGUUUUUCUACCACCGCCCAUGGAAGAAAAAGCUUUCUGAUGUUCGAGUUGUAGAAUUUUUUUAUUCUUCUGAUUCUUUUCGUGAUGAUCUUACUUUAUAAAUUUAACGUUCUCAUCAGCGACGAUGAAUCGACAGUUGUGGCAUUUAAACAUCACGAUCGGUCACUGGGUUGAAUUUAUAGCAAUGGUCUAAAAGCGGACUUCAAGGAUUGGCGGGAAUCGAAGCACGUGGAAUUCUAUAUAAGACCCGAAUCUUUAUUCACAAGGUCACUGGGUUGAAUUUAUAGCAAUGGUCUAAAAGCGGACUUCAAGGAUUGGCGGGAAUCGAAGCACGUGGAAUUCUAUAUAAGACCCGAAUCUUUAUUCACAAG
Molecule: long non-coding RNA, 398 nt
Organism: Bemisia tabaci
Lineage: Eukaryota; Metazoa; Arthropoda; Insecta; Hemiptera; Aleyrodidae
Source: RefSeq, a predicted model, not a curated record